AGAGAGGCAGUGGACAAAGUUGUGUAAUGGAUAGAGGGCCAACCUUGGAAGACUUUGGUUCAGGACAAGCUUCUGGCUGGGUGACCCUGAACUGGCCAUUUGACCUCUCAGUGCCCCGGACAACUCUUAGGACUACGGUAACAGGGAGGCCUGAGGAGAUGGAGAGAGACCGGCCAUGGCGGGUCAGUUAAUGGAGCAGUCAGAACAUAACACAACAUUUAGCUAUUAAGAUGUCUCUCAUCUUCACUGUUGGUGAUAAUCUCAAGGAAUACUUUGUCAAGCAUUUAUGGUAUUCAGUCUCUUGAGUAAUUGAGUAG
Long non-coding RNA from Vombatus ursinus (common wombat), 317 nucleotides. RefSeq lists it as uncharacterized. The record is from RefSeq and is a predicted model, not a curated record. The transcript is spliced from 3 exons. Lineage: Eukaryota; Metazoa; Chordata; Mammalia; Diprotodontia; Vombatidae.